This 291-nucleotide small nuclear RNA is filed under the name Chinchilla lanigera (long-tailed chinchilla). RNAcentral describes it as "7SK RNA (ENSCLAG00000022095.1)". It matches the Rfam family "7SK RNA". From Rfam's summary of the family: 7SK was discovered as an abundant small nuclear RNA in the mid-70s but a possible function has only recently been suggested. The record is from Rfam by way of RNAcentral. Lineage: Eukaryota; Metazoa; Chordata; Mammalia; Rodentia; Chinchillidae.
AGGUGGAUGUGAGUGCGACAUCUGUCACCCCAUUGAUCACCAGGGUUGACUCGGCUGAUCUGGCUGGCUAGGCAGGUGUCCCCUUCCUCCCUCAAUGCCCCAUGUGCGUCCCUCCUGAAGCUGUGCGCUCGGUCAAAAAGGACGAGCACCCCCAGUAAAGGAGGACCUUUUCUUGGUUAAGGGUAUACGAGUAGCUGCACACCCCUGCUAGAACCUCCAAACAAGCUCUCAAAGAAAGCCCGAGACACUUUCUAAAGUCAAAAAAGAAUAUAAAAGAGAAUACUAUUAUUU